Molecule: ribosomal RNA, 415 nt
Filed under: uncultured eukaryote
Lineage: Eukaryota
Description: SSU rRNA
Rfam family: Eukaryotic small subunit ribosomal RNA
Source: RNAcentral
CAAUAGCGUAUAUUAAAGUUGUUGCAGUUAAAAAGCUCGUAGUUGGAUUUCUGGGAGGGUGCCAAUGUCCGUCAACGUGCGUGUGCAGCGGCGCCCUUCCAUCCUUCUGUUAACGCCUCUGGGCAUUUAUUUGCUGGUGGCGGGCUCAGAUAUUUUACCUUGAGAAAAUUAGAGUGUUUCAGGCAGGCUAGGCCGGAAUACAUUAGCAUGGAAUAAUAGAAUAGGACUAUGGUCUCUUUGUUGGUUUGAGGGACUAUGGUAAUGAUUAAUAGGGAUAGUUGGGGGUAUUCAUAUUCAAUUGUCAGAGGUGAAAUUCUUGGAUUUAUGGAAGAUGAACUACUGCGAAAGCAUUUACCAAGGAUGUUUUCAUUAAUCAAGAACGAAAGUUAGGGGAUCGAAGACGAUUAGAUACCAU